AUGCACGCUGGCGGCGUGCCUCAUACCUGCAAGUCGAGCGCACAGACGAGGAGCUUGCUCCUCUGACGUUAGCGGCGGACGGGUGAGUAACACGUGGAUAACCUACCUAUAAGACUGGGAUAACUUCGGGAAACCGGAGCUAAUACCGGAUAAUAUAUUGAACCGCAUGGUUCAAUAGUGAAAGACGGUUUUGCUGUCACUUAUAGAUGGAUCCGCGCCGCAUUAGCUAGUUGGUAAGGUAACGGCUUACCAAGGCAACGAUGCGUAGCCGACCUGAGAGGGUGAUCGGCCACACUGGAACUGAGACACGGUCCAGACUCCUACGGGAGGCAGCAGUAGGGAAUCUUCCGCAAUGGGCGAAAGCCUGACGGAGCAACGCCGCGUGAGUGAUGAAGGUCUUCGGAUCGUAAAACUCUGUUAUUAGGGAAGAACAAAUGUGUAAGUAACUAUGCACGUCUUGACGGUACCUAAUCAGAAAGCCACGGCUAACUACGUG
This 496-nucleotide ribosomal RNA is filed under the name uncultured bacterium. Its description in RNAcentral is "partial 16S ribosomal RNA". It matches the Rfam family "Bacterial small subunit ribosomal RNA", at positions 29 to 507 of the family's 1533-position model. The record is from RNAcentral.